RNAcentral lists this ribosomal RNA (268 nucleotides) under uncultured bacterium. RNAcentral describes it as "partial 16S ribosomal RNA". It matches the Rfam family "Bacterial small subunit ribosomal RNA", at positions 57 to 305 of the family's 1533-position model. The record is from RNAcentral.
GCAAGUCGAACGAGAACGGGAUUGCUUGCAAUCCUUAUUAAAGUGGCGCACGGGUGAGUAACACGUGGAUAACCUACCUAAGGUUCUGGAACAACAUUGCGAAAGCGAUGCUAAUACCGGAUGAGAUAUUUUACUCUUCGGAGUUUGAUAUGAAAGAGUGCCUCUAUUUAUAAGCAUUUGACAUUAGAUGGGUCCGCGGAUCAUUAGCUUGUUGGUGGGGUAAUGGCCUACCAAGGCAACGAUGAUUAGCUGGUCUGAGAGGAUGAUC